Molecule: ribosomal RNA, 386 nt
Filed under: uncultured bacterium
Lineage: Bacteria
Description: bacterial SSU rRNA
Rfam family: Bacterial small subunit ribosomal RNA
Source: RNAcentral
AUUGAACGCUGGCGGCAGGCCUAACACAUGCAAGUCGAGCGGAUGAAAGGGGCUUGCUCCUGGAUUCAGCGGCGGACGGGUGAGUAAUACGCAGGAAUCUACCUAGUAGUGGGGGAUAACGUUUCGAAAGGGACGCUAAUACCGCAUACGUUCUGAGGAAGAAAGCAGGGGAUCGUAAGACCUUGCGCUAUUAGAUGAGCUUGCGUCCGAUUAGCUAGUUGGUGGGGUAAAGGCCUACCAAGGCGACGAUCGGUAACUGGUCUGAGAGGAUGAUCAGUCACACUGGAACUGAGACACGGUCCAGACUCCUACGGGAGGCAGCAGUGGGGAAUAUUGGACAAUGGGGGCAACCCUGAUCCAGCCAUGCCGCGUGUGUGAAGAAGGCC